This is a long non-coding RNA of Helianthus annuus (common sunflower), 209 nucleotides long. RefSeq lists it as uncharacterized. The record is from RefSeq and is a predicted model, not a curated record. Lineage: Eukaryota; Viridiplantae; Streptophyta; Magnoliopsida; Asterales; Asteraceae. The transcript has 3 exons.
GCUUGCUCCAUUUGAUCCAACGAAAAAGAAGGUUGUCAUUCAAGAUCCUGUUGAAGAUUCUAUUGAACAGUUGGUUGAGAAAACCGAUAACUUAUCUGUCUCCGACACUCUCGAACCUACAUUCACCGGUCUGAAAAAGAAAAAGAAAAAACAGGUACACUCGGAUCUCUUGGAUGAUGAACCAAGUAAUGCUGAGGAAGAUAUAGAUU